Molecule: transfer RNA, 64 nt
Filed under: Aglaiogyrodactylus forficulatus
Lineage: Eukaryota; Metazoa; Platyhelminthes; Monogenea; Gyrodactylidea; Oogyrodactylidae
Description: tRNA-Leu
Source: RNAcentral
GCAUUAGUGUCAGAGUAAUAUGAGUUGAUUUUAAGCGUCAAAUACAGGUAGUUCCUCUAGUGCU